UACGUAGGGCGCAAGCGUUAUCCGGAAUUAUUGGGCGUAAAGAGCUCGUAGGCGGUUUGUCGCGUCUGCCGUGAAAGUCCGGGGCUCAACUCCGGAUCUGCAGCUGAUACGGGCAGGCUUGAGUUCGGUAGGGGAGACUGGAAUUCCUGGUGUAGCGGUGAAAUGCGCAGAUAUCAGGAGGAACACCAACGGCGAAGGCAGCUCGCUGGGACGGAACUGACGCUAAGGCGCGAAAGCGUGGGGAGCGAACAGG
RNAcentral lists this ribosomal RNA (253 nucleotides) under uncultured bacterium. Its description in RNAcentral is "partial 16S ribosomal RNA". It matches the Rfam family "Bacterial small subunit ribosomal RNA", at positions 524 to 776 of the family's 1533-position model. The record is from RNAcentral.